Equus caballus (horse) is the source of this 3004-nucleotide long non-coding RNA. Lineage: Eukaryota; Metazoa; Chordata; Mammalia; Perissodactyla; Equidae. The record is from Ensembl.
CUUAUUUACUAAAGAAAUUAACCUUUUCUCUAGGACUAUAGGUUGCAAAUACCCCAGUUUGGUUGUUUUCUCUUCGGAUUGUGUUUACAUUGUUUUUCUGUUGAAGAUGUACUUUAUUUUUGUGCACUCAAAUUUAUUAAUCUUUUAUUUUCACUUAUUUUAUUUUAUCUCCUGGACUUUUGUGUCAUAGUGAGAGAGACCUGCCCCUUAUUGAAAAUCGCUCAUAUUUUCAUUGCCCACUUCCACUGUCCCCAGUUAGACUCUGGUUUAUCUAGAAUUUAUUUGACUGAAAGGUGUGAGCUGUGGAUUCGGUUGAUUUCUCAGACGGCGUUGAGUUGUCUCAGCACCACAAGUGGACUAAUCUUUUCAAGACGGCCUGAAGUCACUUUUAUCUGCAGAUUCCGCUGGGAACCUCAGUGAGACGCUGAGCUUUCUAAGAUGCUAACUCAUCUGCUUCUGGACCAGCACUACCACCACCACCAGGAGGACUUUCAACCAGUAUUUGUGUGGCUCUUUUGAUUUUUACAUGUCUAAUAAAAAAAUAAGCCGGAAAUGUGGAUGUUAUUUCAGGACCAUUUCCCCAGGAUGCUUUGCACAUCUUUCCAUGUAAACCCUCCGAGUCCCUCUGUCUCAGGCCUGUGCCUGCACACCCUCCGAGUCCCUCUGUCUCAGGCCUGUGCCUGCACACCCUCCGAGUCCCUCUGUCUCAGGCCUGUGCCUGCACACCCUCCGAGUCCCUCUGUCUCAGGUCUGUGCCUGCACACCCUCUGAUCCCUGUGUCUCAGGUCUCUGCCUUCACACCCUCUGAGUCCCUCUGUCUCAGGCCUGUGCCUGCACACCCUCCGAGUCCCUCUGUCUCAGGCCUGUGCCUGCACGCCCUCCGAGUCCCUGUGUCUCAGGCCUGUGCCUGCACACCCUCCGAGUCCCUCUGUCUCAGGCCUGUGCCUGCACGCCCUCCGAGUCCCUCUGUCUCAGGCCUGUGCCUACACACCCUCCGAGUCCCUCUGUCUCAGGCCUGUGCCUGCACACCCUCUGAUCCCUCUGUCUUAGGUCUGUUCCACACACAGGGUGUGCUGCAUUUCGCGUUGUCAUUCAUCCUGACAGUCUCUUUUUUUCAUAGGUGAGCUGAGCUGACGUAUGGGCAUUUACUGAUACAAAGUCACAGUUGGUCUUAGUUUUGUUGUCUUAUUUCAUGUUACAGUUCUGGGUUGUAGUUAUUUCUCCUUAAAGAAACUGCUGUGUCUUCCCUCGUGUGCUGUGUGUGUUUCUUAAUUUGGAAGCGAGAUAUUUUGUUUCAGGUGAUAUUUUUGGUGACAGUUUUCCUUCCCUUCCAGAUCACAUUUUUCUUUUUCUUCUGCUGUGUGUUUUACUCAUUCCUUUCCCUUUAUUUCAUUUUUGUGGUCUUCCUGUCUCUCUGUAUGGAUCCUGUGCUCCUUUCUUUCUAUUUAUGACUAACCCUCAAGUCUGGGGAAUCCUCUCCGGACAGCUAUGGGAGGAGGGUCACGUGGGGCCCAGGGCCCUGCCCCCUCACCCAUCUCCCAGGAGACUGCGGGUGGGAAUGAGACCGGGGGUGGGUGUGAGCUGGGGUGGAUAUGAGGCAGGGUGGGUGUGAGGCGAGGUCUGUCUGAGGCAGGGUGCGCUUGAGGCUGGGGGCAUGAGGCCGGGGCAUACGUGAAGCAGGAGCAGGUGUGAGGCGGGGUCGGUGUGUAUUGGGGAUCAGCGUGAGGCAGGGGCUUGCGGGGGGCGUGAGGUGGGGUGCGUGUGAGGUGGGGGGAGGCGUGAGGCGGGGUCAGUGUGUACUGGGGGUGUGCGUGAGGCAUGGGUCGUGUGUAUUGGGGGUCGGUGUGAGGCUGGAGGAAGCGUGAGGUGGGGUCCGUGUGUAUUGGGGGUGCGCACGAGGCGGGGACGUGAGGCGGGGUCGGUGUGAUCCUGGAGGAGGCGUGAAGCGGGGUCCGUGUGUACUGGGGGUGCGCGUGAGGUGGGGGUGUGUGCGAGGCAGGGAGCAUGAGGAGAGGUCAGUGUGUAUUGGGGGUCGUUGUGAGGCUGGGGGAGGCGUGAGGCGGGGUCAGUGUGUAUUGGGGGUGCGUGUGAGGUGGGGCACGCGUGUGUCUCCCCCUCUGCCCUGCCAGUGGCCUGUCUGGGCUCAAGCUGUUUCCCUCCUGCCUCUCAGCCCCAGUGCCCACACCCGUGGGUGCGCUUUCCCGGGGCACGUGGCGCUUACCCAGAGGCUUUGACUCCAGCGUCCUGGGGUCUCUGAGUGAGUGUGGGCUCGCCUGUGCUCUGCGGGUGCAGCGCGUUCCCACUGGCGGCAGUCCUGGUGCUCCGUCUCCCUGUGCCCUUCAUCUCUAGGUAGGAGGAUGCUCUGCAGCCUGAGUAAAACCGCGGCCUCACUAAGGUGCAUAUCACCACACUGGAAAUAGGAAGGGAAGGACAGUCUCUUGCUGACCGAAGGCCGUCCCCACCUGCAUGUUUCAGCCCAAUGGCUCCACCCGAUUGGGAAGAAUUGUGCUGACUCCUUGUGCAAUUCACUGACGUCUUUUAAAAUUAGGUAUCACCGCAAAUUAUUAUUCCAUGCUCAUGGGCAAACGUCACAUGUAUUAGCGUGUUGUUAACGUGAAUGUUUAAGAUGCCAGCUGUGCACCAUUGGGCACUGUGGUUUUUUUGUAGUUUCCAUGUGUUCCAGGACAUUCUCUUUAAACAAAAUUAAGCACAACACAAGAGGAGCUGCUGGGGUCGAGUGUGGGGGCACUCGUCCACCCUCUGGGCCUCACACCUUCUGGUCCCACCCACCACCCUCUGGGCACAACCCGGUGGAGAAAACAUGCCAGGUGUGAACCACGAGCUCGUUCCAAAAGGGUGUCUGUAAGUAGAUCUCUCUCUGACAGAUGACGACAGAAUCCAUGGAGGGGGAAGUAGCUCCAAUAAGUCCCCGGGUUUAGUGGCGCCUGACGCUGAUGUGACUGUGCGGUGGGUGGGUGGGGCACUGAUGGAAAAGAAAAGAAAU